UAUAUUCAGUACCAUUUGACUUUAUUUUUUAUACUACGUUGGUGGCAAACAAGCAUACGGCCCGCUUGAUGGUAAGCAGUCUCCGCAGUCUAUUGACGCCUGCAACUCUAGAGGAGUUACAUGCGCGUUGCCGACCCUAACACUCCGCACCCUCGGGCCUCGUUGAGUUCUCUGGCAACCUUACUCACCGGCAGGAACACGACACUAUGAGUAGGGUCUAGUGUUAUUUGGCUGCGGUUUUCUACAAGGUGGCUAUUUCUGUAAGGUUGAGCUCUGCUCUAGAUCUGGAAUGACAUCCGCUGUGCUGUGUCCUACCACACAAAGCGAGAUGUAAUUCACAGUGCCCAUACCUCUCUUUUGGACAUAGAUAGAUAGAUAGAUAGAAUACUCUUUAUUGGCACACCUCAUUAAAA
This is a long non-coding RNA of Cydia splendana, 413 nucleotides long. RefSeq lists it as uncharacterized. The record is from RefSeq and is a predicted model, not a curated record. The transcript is spliced from 3 exons. NCBI's taxonomy places the organism in Eukaryota, Metazoa, Arthropoda, Insecta, Lepidoptera, Tortricidae.